RNAcentral lists this ribosomal RNA (253 nucleotides) under uncultured bacterium. RNAcentral's name for it is "partial 16S ribosomal RNA". It matches the Rfam family "Bacterial small subunit ribosomal RNA", at positions 524 to 776 of the family's 1533-position model. The record is from RNAcentral.
UACAGAGGUCUCAAGCGUUGUUCGGAUUCAUUGGGCGUAAAGGGUGCGUAGGCGGCGCGGUAAGUCGGGUGUGAAAUCUUGGAGCUUAACUCCGAAACUGCAUUCGAUACUGCCGUGCUUGAGGACUGGAGAGGAGACUGGAAUUGUCGGUGUAGCGGUGAAAUGCGUAGAGAUCGACAAGAACACCGGUGGCGAAGGCGGGUCUCUGGACAGUUCCUGACGCUGAGGGACGAAAGCUAGGGGAGCAAACGGG